Molecule: ribosomal RNA, 776 nt
Filed under: uncultured Neocallimastigales
Lineage: Eukaryota; Fungi; Neocallimastigomycota; Neocallimastigomycetes; Neocallimastigales
Description: partial large subunit ribosomal RNA
Rfam family: Eukaryotic large subunit ribosomal RNA
Source: RNAcentral
CGUCUAUAUACGUAUAGCAUAUCAAUAAGCGGAGGAAAAGAAACUAACUAGGAUUCCCUCAGUAACGGCGAGUGAAGCGGGAAGAGCUCAAAUUUGAAAUCUUCAAGGUUCUACCUUGACGAAUUGUAGUUUAAAGAAGUGUUUUCUGUUGGAAGUUUUGGUAAAAGUUCUUUGGAAUAGGACAUCAUAGAGGGUGAGAAUCCCGUAUUUGACCAUUAUUUCCAACUUUGUGAUACACUUUCAAAGAGUCGGAUUGUUUGGGAAUGCAGUCCAAAAUGGGUGGUAAAUUUCAUCUAAAGCUAAAUACUGGCGAGAGACCGAUAGCGAACAAGUACCGUGAGGGAAAGAUGAAAAGAACUUUGAAAAGAGAGUUAAACAGUACGUGAAAUUGUCAAAAGGGAAGCGUUUGACACCAGUGUUGUUUUCUCGAAAAUCAAUUAAAAAGUGUCUAGGAUUUUGUGUUGUAUUGACUUCAUCAGCUUUCUGCACUUUUUUCUUGCCUUUUUUAAUGCACUUUUCGUUUAACAAGUCAACAUCAAUUUCUUUUGUUGUAAAAGGUCAUUGGAAGGUGGCUUUCUUUUCGGAGAAAGUGUUUAUAGCCUUUGGCUUCUGCAAUCGGAGAGAUUGAGGUCUGCAGCGUAGAUCCUUCGGGGUUAGAUACAUUUGUGCUAAGUUAUAGCCUUUCAUAGGCAACUUGUUGACUAUGAUCAGUCAUGUAGCUUACUCGCUUAUGCUAUUUUACCUACGCUUAGGAUGUUGACGAUCAGCUGAGCGCG